RNAcentral lists this ribosomal RNA (253 nucleotides) under uncultured bacterium. Its description in RNAcentral is "partial 16S ribosomal RNA". It matches the Rfam family "Bacterial small subunit ribosomal RNA", at positions 524 to 776 of the family's 1533-position model. The record is from RNAcentral.
UACGUAGGGGGCAAGCGUUAUCCGGAUUUACUGGGUGUAAAGGGAGCGUAGACGGCGAUGCAAGUCUGAAGUGAAAGCCCGGGGCUCAACCCCGGGACUGCUUUGGAAACUGUAUGGCUGGAGUGCUGGAGAGGCAAGCGGAAUUCCUAGUGUAGCGGUGAAAUGCGUAGAGAUUAGGAAGAACACCAGUGGCGAAGGCGAUUCUCUGGACUGUAACUGACGCUGAGGCUCGAAAGCGUGGGGAGCAAACAGG